CUUUAUGAUUGGUGCUUAGUAUCAUGACGUCACGCUACGAUACUUGCGUCGUAUCCAUAUGAAACGUCAUGGAGCAUAGGCCGUAAAACCCGAAACUCUGUAGAAUGUCGAGCAUACGAGUUCAAAACUCGAAAUUGAUUUGGUGUGGUAGCAGUGAAACGAAGAGCUAACGUAGAGUUAGAGAAAAUAUAUUUUAAGACCACUUAUUUGUCUCUCUCUUUUCACCUCUGUAAUGCCAUAAAGUCAACCAGUAUCAAAAUUCUGUAAAUUAUAAUACUGACACAUAAGACAUAUUAGUAUUACGACAGUUUCUGUGCGUGGCGCAGUUACUCCAAGACAUCGAACACGCACGUCGGAGAAGGUUGAGCUUUCCCGCGGAGGAAUAUAAUCUUGCGUGGUUGGUACGCUGGUGGUAUAAGAAACACGAAGUAAGAAGAAAUAACUUUCACUGAGAUAUUCUACUAAAAAAAGAAAAGAACUGGAAUGGAUAAAGUGUUUUCAGAAGAAUCUACUGAUAAAGGAGCAGUAAGACGAACUACGGGCACAGUGGCGACAUACAAAACCUACGUAAAAAAGCGAGUUAUUCUUAAAGAACGCAGGGACAAAGAAAGCAGCAGAAAAUCUACGAAUACCGUCGUCUUCGAUCAAUGGUUCCAUCUCUUUCCAGAAAGCCUAAAGUUUCCAAGAUAACAGUUAUAGAGGAAGCUAUUCGUUACAUAGACCAAUUGCACAACGCCCUGUUAACGAGAUUAAAGACGCGUGGACUGCCAAGGUGUAUGCAAGAUAUGAACAUCGAUGUUAACAGCUUAAGUCACAGUGAGAUUAAAAAUCUGGUGUGUCAGAUGAUGUCCAACAGUCCUUCACCUCCGUCAACGUCACAGAGACCAGUACCAGUGCUUUAUACAGAUAGCAUCCAAGAGAGAAACCGUGUAAUCCCAUCUUAUAUGAUGCGGAAACAAAGGAAGUGACGUCAACCUGGUCAUCUAGUCAACUGCAAUGUAGAGUGAGCUGCACUGUGUAAAACCUCGGCCAUUCCUUUGAAUGGGAGUUGUGGUGACUUUUGACCUUUUCGACCAACGAAUGUGAUCUCAUAAAUCUGUGAUGGUGUAAUCCUUAUCACGAAAUUAAGGCUGAGCUAAUUCGGGUUUCAUUGGU
Long non-coding RNA from Limulus polyphemus (Atlantic horseshoe crab), 1155 nucleotides. RefSeq lists it as uncharacterized. The transcript has 5 exons. Lineage: Eukaryota; Metazoa; Arthropoda; Merostomata; Xiphosura; Limulidae. The record is from RefSeq and is a predicted model, not a curated record.